Molecule: ribosomal RNA, 483 nt
Filed under: uncultured bacterium
Lineage: Bacteria
Description: SSU rRNA
Rfam family: Bacterial small subunit ribosomal RNA
Source: RNAcentral
AGGAUAAACGCUGGCGGCGUGCCUAACACAUGCAAGUCGAACGCGCUUGCUAUCCGCGAGGACGGUGAGCGAGUGGCGGACGGGUGAGGAACACGUGGGUGACCUACCUUUCAGUGAGGGAUACCGGCGAGAAAUUGCCGACAAGACCGCAUACGCUUCUCUUUUCAAGGGGAGAAGGAAAGCUUUUCGCAAGAGAGGCGCUGGGAGAUGGGCCUGCGGCCGAUUAGCUAGCUGGUGGGGUAAUGGCCUACCAGGGCGACGAUCGGUAGCUGGUCUGAGAGGACGAUCAGCCACACUGGGAUUGAGAACGGCCCAGACUCCUACGGGGGGCAGCAGUGAGGAAUUUUCGGCAAUGGGGCAACCCUGACCGAGCAACGCCGCGUGCAGGACGACGGCCUUCGGGUUGUAAACUGCUUUCUCGUGGGACGAGCAAGGACGGUACCGAGAGGAAGAAGCCCGGCUAACGUACGCGCCAGCAGCCGC